CCUACGGGGGGCAGCAGUGGGGAAUAUUGGGCAAUGGAGGCAACUCUGACCCAGCAACGCCGCGUGAAUGAUGAAGGUCUUCGGAUUGUAAAGUUCUUUUCUAAGGGAAGAAGAAAGUGACGGUACCUUAGGCAUAAGCCUAGGCUAACUACGUGCCAGAAGCCGCGGUAUUCAGGAGGAGGCAAGCGUUAUCCGGAAUGUCUGGGCGUAAAGGGUGCGUAGGGGGUGUGACAAUUUGGUAGCGUAACUCCGGAGCUCAACUUCGGAACUGCUACCAAAACUGUUUGACUCGAGUGCAGGAGAGGCAGCUGGAAUUUGUGGUGUAGAGGUGGAAUGCGUAGAUAUUAGGAAGAACACCGGUGGCGAAGGCGAGUUGCUGGACUGUAACUGACACUGAGGCACGAAAGCGUGGGGAGCAAACAGGAUUAGAUACCCGAGUAGUC
RNAcentral lists this ribosomal RNA (443 nucleotides) under uncultured bacterium. RNAcentral's name for it is "partial 16S ribosomal RNA". It matches the Rfam family "Bacterial small subunit ribosomal RNA", at positions 338 to 795 of the family's 1533-position model. The record is from RNAcentral.